RNAcentral lists this ribosomal RNA (481 nucleotides) under uncultured bacterium. RNAcentral describes it as "bacterial SSU rRNA". It matches the Rfam family "Bacterial small subunit ribosomal RNA", at positions 903 to 1397 of the family's 1533-position model. The record is from RNAcentral.
AAAUGAAUAGACGGGGGCCCGCACAAGCAGCGGAGCGUGUGGUUUAAUUCGUCGGUACGCGAAGAACCUUACCAGGGCUUGACAUGUGGCGGAAAGCGGCGGAAACGUCGUCCUCCCGCAAGGGAUCGUCAUGCAGGUGUUGCAUGGCUGUCGUCAGCUCGUGUCGUGAGAUGUUGGGUUAAGUCCCGCAACGAGCGCAACCCCCGUGGCAUGUUGUACCACUCAUGCCAGACUGCCGAGAGAAACUCGGAGGAAGGUGGGGAUGACGUCAAGUCAGCAUGGCCCUUACGCCCUGGGCUACACACACGCUACAAUGGCCGGUACAACGGGUUGCCAAACCGCGAGGUGGAGCCAAUCCCAUAAAGCCGGUCUCAGUUCGGAUUGCAGGCUGCAACUCGCCUGCAUGAAGCUGGAGUUGCUAGUAACCGCAGGUCAGCACACUGCGGUGAAUAUGUUCCCGGGCCUUGUACACACCGCCCGU